This is a long non-coding RNA of Lolium rigidum, 550 nucleotides long. RefSeq lists it as uncharacterized. NCBI's taxonomy places the organism in Eukaryota, Viridiplantae, Streptophyta, Magnoliopsida, Poales, Poaceae. The transcript has 4 exons. The record is from RefSeq and is a predicted model, not a curated record.
GCCCGUCAGCACGUUGCUGGGCCGCGCCUCUCCAUCCCCGUUCGUCGGAAGUCCUCUGCCUAUUCUCUGUUUCGCGAUGUUUAUCUUCGUUCUGUGCUGGAUCAAUCCUUGCAUGCAUGGCUGGGUCAAGUCAUCCACGUAUCAACCGCAAUCUGCAUACAGAGUAGCUGGUCGCCGUCCGAGGCGCCUCUCUGAUCCACGUCUUCCUCCGCGUCGCCCAGGUCCAAGGCGCGGGCUUUCUGCAUCUUGAGUUGGCUGCGUGUAUCAGCACACACACAUCAACCGCGCUUUUGCCGGAUCCACGCCGUCAGAUCGUUGCUCGCGGCCGGCCACCUGAUCCAGGUCUCCAUCUUGGUCCGGUUCAACAAUUGUCCCGGCUUCUCUUGAUCAAAUUCGUGCAGUAGCACAUCUGGUACACUUCCUCCGAAUACAACCGUGAGCUCCAAGGGUCAAAUCCCAUUCCAUGCAAGACAAUCCUUUUUAUAAUCCCAUUCUUCCUUAGCAUUUGCUUCUUCCCGGAUAGGAUCACGAAGUGGUGAUGUGAGAUACG